AGAGUUUGAUCAUGGCUCAGAAUCAACGCUGGCGGCGCGCCUAACACAUGCAAGUCGAACGAGAAAGUGGAGCAAUCCAUGAGUACAGUGGCGUACGGGUGAGUAACACGUGGAUGAUCUACCUUUUAGUGGGGAAUAACUCUGGGAAACCGGAGAUAAUACCGCAUAAUCCCGAGAGGGGAAAGCAGCAAUGCGCUGAAAGAGGAGUCCGCGGCCGAUUAGCUAGUUGGCAGGGUAAAAGCCUACCAAGGCAAAGAUCGGUAGCCGGCCUGAGAGGGCACACGGCCACACUGGCACUGAAACACGGGCCAGACUCCUACGGGAGGCAGCAGUGGGGAAUCUUGCACAAUGGGGGAAACCCUGAUGCAGCGACGCCGCGUGAGCGAUGAAGCCCUUCGGGGUGUAAAGCUCUUUCGGCAGGGAAGAUGAUGACGGUACCUGCAGAAGCAGCUGCGGCUAACUACGUGCCAGCAGCCGCGGUA
This 482-nucleotide ribosomal RNA is filed under the name uncultured Acidobacteriota bacterium. RNAcentral's name for it is "bacterial SSU rRNA". It matches the Rfam family "Bacterial small subunit ribosomal RNA", at positions 8 to 522 of the family's 1533-position model. The record is from RNAcentral. Lineage: Bacteria; Pseudomonadati; Acidobacteriota.